CUCUCACACACACACACACACACACACACACACACACACACACACCCAUGCUCUCCAGGCCCGGGGACGAGCUUUGGUUUCUGGCUUUUUGGGCGCUGCCCCGCCGGGUCCACAGGAGUUCUGGGUCCAGAGCGUGCCUUUCCUGGGAUCCUGCGACCCCGGAGUCGCGGCGCUGAGCGCGCACCCUGAACUCUCCUCUCUCCGGAGUCAGGCAGUUCUGGAUUCUCCGAGCCCCCGGCCUUCCUAGGUGUCAAGCUCCCCCUACUGCCUCGGGAAGCUUCUGGCUUUUUGGGCGCUGCCCCGCCGGGUCCACAGGAGUUCUGGGUCCAGAGCGUGCCUUUCCUGGGAUCCUGCGACCCCGGAGUCGCGGCGCUGAGCGCGCACCCUGAACUCUCCUCUCUCCGGAGUCAGGCAGUUCUGGAUUCUCCGAGCCCCCGGCCUUCCUAGGUGUCAAGCUCCCCCUACGGCCUCGGGAAGCUCCCCGCGGCGCAGAGGCAGUCCUUCGGCCUCCGGCCUCGGUCAUUCAACCGCGCGGCCCCUGCUGCCAUUUGCUCGGGGGUUGGUGACUCUGAGAUUUUCCACUCUCCCCCCAGCGUCAGUCUCACGCCUGAGGGGCCUGUUCCCGGGUUGCACGCAAAACAGCCCCAGCGACCUCCGGGACGCCACGGGGAGCUCCCAGGCCUCCACCUGGAGAGGACUUGGUAGAGGAAGACAGCCUCCGUGCCGCCUACACGGAGCCAGGCAGCCUUCAGCGCCUCCGAGCCGCCUGCCCGCACUCGCCGACUGGAGGAACCGGAGCUGGCGCCCGAGACGCUGCAGCCCUACUCCCACUCUGGUGAGGAAACCAAGGACUAAAGAGAAGUCACAUAUCUGGGCUCCAGAGCCAGAGUCCUUAACCACUGUACUGCACUGUGCUGGUCCCUGUGCCUGGAAUCUUUGUCCUCUGUCUUCUCUCCAUAAUUACCAGCAACUCAAAACUCCUGCUUCAAAUCUCAGGCCAGCAUCACCUCCUCCCGGAAGCCCCCCACAUUCUUCACAUUGGAUUCAGUGCCCUUCUCAUUGCUCCUGUAGUACCUGUCCAUCCCAUCAUACUCUCUACAUUUUCCUCACAGCCUGGGCCCUGAACACAGCAGGAGGGUUUGUCUCCUGUACCUUUUUCUAGCUCUGACAGCCAGCAUGGUACCUGGAACAUAGUAGAUGUUCGAUAAAUGUUAGAGGGAAGGUGAGAAAGGGAAGGAAGGAAGACAGAAAGGGAUGGGGGAGUGGCAUGGAGACGGAAUGGAGGAAAGUUGUGAAAGAAUUGGGCCCUCUUGGGCAGGAUGAUUCUUCCAGAGAGAGCAGAAGUAGCAGUUGGCUUAGAGGAACUGUGGACACCUUUGCCCUUCCACAAAAUGAGGCCCAGUGAGCUUCCACAUAUCAGUUAGAAACUGCAUCUGCUGACGAUGACAAAGACCCUUAAAGAGUAGCUUAAAGAAUAUGGAUAUUCUCUUCUCUCAGGAUGGAGGUGGACAGUCCAGGCUAAAAAUGGCCCUUGGUUAUCAGGGACCCAGGAUGCUCUGUCUUUGGCUAUAUCAGACCAACCAAGAAGUUUUUUGUUUUUUUGGGUUGUUUUUUUUUUUUCUUUUUACAGCUGCACCUGCAGCAUAUGGAAAUUCCUGGGCUAGGGGUCAAAUCAGAGCUGCAGCUGCCAGCCUGCGCUACAGCCACAGCAAUAUCAGAUUCAAGCCACAUCUGCAAGCUAUGCUACAGCUUGUGGCAACACUAGAUCCUUAACCCACUGAGUGAGGCCAGGCAUCGAAGCCGCAUCCUUACAGAGACUACAUUGGGUUUUGAACCUGCUGAGCCCCAGUGGGAACUCUGCCACCAGGAAGCUUUCCUCCUCGCAUCAUCUAAGUCCAAGAUGGCUGCUUGAGCUCAGCAACCAUCACCUCAUUCCAGGCAACAGGAAGGAGCAGUGAAAAGAGGUAAAAGGGUCCCCUCCCUUUUAAUGAGACUUUCUGGAAUCCACUGACAACUUCUCAGCUUAUACCUCAUUGGGCAGACUCUAACCACAUGGCCACACUUAGCUGCAAGGAAGGCUGGGACCUGUUUAGUUGGGUACACUGUUGCCUGAAAUAAACUCAGGGUUCUGUUACUCAGGGGAGUAACAGCAGCAAGGGUGGGAGUUAGGGUAGAACAUCAGUAGACUCCUCAGCAAGCCACAGACAGGGUCACCCAGAACUGGAGUCAGGAAGCAGCUCUCUUGGUGGUGGCCUUCCAGGGGGUCACUGGUUGGUGGCUUGUACCUCUAAACCACAUAUUCUUGUUGACAAAGGAGACAAAGCCCUCAGACAUUGUAACUCUUGUUCGUUUUUGGUGCUCAGAGUUGCCCACUACAAUGAUUUAGAGUGGGAUUUGUCAAAAGUAAUUUUUAUCCCUAUUAAGAUCUUUGGUUAGAGAUCUAUUCAUUUUAGCCCUGAACCCCUCUCACACAAUACCAAUCCAGGAAGAAGCAAUUGUCUUUGAAAAACAACAACAACAAGAAAAUCCCAUGGGGUCAGAGUUCCUAUUGUGACUCAAUGGAUUAAGAUCCCAAUAUAGUGUCCGUGAGGAUGAGGGUUCAAUCCCUGGCCUCGAUCAGUGGGUUAAGGAUCUGGUGUUGUCGCAAGCUGUGGCAUAGGUCACACAUGCGACUUGGAUAUGGUGUUGCUGUGGCUGUGGCAGAGGUCUCAGCUGCAGUUCAUAUUUGAACCUUAGCCUGGGAACUUCCAUAUGCCACAGAUGCGGCCCUUAAAAAAAAAAAAAAAAAUCCCAGGGAGUGACAUUGUAAACCUACCUCCCCCCCUCUUCCACGUUACUGGAAAAAAACUGAAGACAGCCUCCAACUCAAAACAGAAGCAAAUCAAUGCUAAGUCAAGUCUACACUAACCCUACCUUCAAUCAUUAUAGUGUAACUACAGAAAUCUAAAAGAAACAAGACACAACCAUAAAGAACACAAAUGCUAUCACUUACACCACUCGAGCGAGUUUGAAUCAUGCCUCCCACAUAUACCUGCACUUGGCCCUUGGGGACCACCUAUGCCAGAUUCUGGAGAGUGCAGGAGCAGGGUGUAGGUGGAGCUUGGAGAAAGGAAAAGGAGACUCCUAGGACCCGAAGGGGUGAUGAGAAAGCAGGAACAGGGAUGCAUGUAUGGGAGCAGCUUGGCUGCCCUGCUGCUGGAAGCUUUCUCAGUUUUAAGUCUAACAAGGAAGACACAUUUCAGAGUUCUGGGCUGAUUUCUUUGCAUCUCUCUGUGUGUCUCUGACAGUUUUCUCUCACGGGCUUUAGAAACAUCCCUCCCCUACUUCCUCCAGGGGCAGCUCCUGUGGAGUGGGAAUUCUAUACCCUCCGCAUCAAUAGGUCUUAAGCCUUUUUGAUUUCUUUGCAUCUCUCUGUGUGUCUCUGACAGUUUUCUCUCACGGGCUUUAGAAACAUCCCUCCCCUACUUCCUCCAGGGGCAGCUCCUGUGGAGUGGGAAUUCUAUACCCUCCGCAUCAAUAGGUCUUAAGCCUUUUGUGGGCUGAGGGAUGGAUGCAGAAACCACAGCUUUUUUUUUUUUUUUUUUUUGGAAACUACCAAAGGCAAUGGCCCCC
Molecule: long non-coding RNA, 3612 nt
Filed under: Sus scrofa (pig)
Lineage: Eukaryota; Metazoa; Chordata; Mammalia; Artiodactyla; Suidae
Description: lncRNA (ENSSSCG00005027055.1)
Source: RNAcentral